RNAcentral lists this long non-coding RNA (486 nucleotides) under Ananas comosus (pineapple). Its description in RNAcentral is "long non-coding RNA (ACOM_LNC012797)". Lineage: Eukaryota; Viridiplantae; Streptophyta; Magnoliopsida; Poales; Bromeliaceae. The record is from RNAcentral.
AAAUUAAUCCUUUUAAGAAUAUAUGUCCCAUCAUAAUUGUAAAAAAGUAUUUUUAUUGUACUUUUGUUUGAAAAGAAGAAAUGUGAUUGGCUUGUUAUUGAUGACGUGGUGCAAGUGUGACAGUGUAGAAUUCCUCCUAAAACAGGGGCGGUUUGAUUCCAUAUAAAACUGUAAAAAAAAAAAAAAUUUUGGUGAAAAAAAUUUCGAAGAAAAAUAAAUUUACGGUCUCUAGAGUUUGAUUUAGAGGAAAAUCUUUUUUUUUUCUGUUAUAAUUGUUUGGUUGAAAGGAAGAAAAAGAAAGAAAAAAAUAAUUAAAAAUUAUUAUAUGUAUUUUUUUUCUAUUAUACAUAUUAUAUAUUAUUGAAAUAUAAUAAUUAUCACACUACAUAUAUUAAAAUUAUAUUGUAUGCUAAAUUGAUAAGUAUAUAAUAUAAUAUAUGUAAUAAUAUGUAUAUUGUACUAUAUAAUAAAAAUAUAAAAUAUAUA